AAAUAACCAUCACCAGACUCCACCAGACUCCAUGUAAAUAAACAGUAAUUUUAGCAUUGUAAAAUACACUUUCAUUCAAAGUUGACAGAAACAAAAUAAAACUAUUAAAAGCCAAUUUGGUUCAUCUUUCCGCUUUUCCAACCAUAGCAACUCUAGUUUGGGUUGAAAU
Long non-coding RNA from Sander lucioperca (pikeperch), 169 nucleotides. RefSeq lists it as uncharacterized. Lineage: Eukaryota; Metazoa; Chordata; Actinopteri; Perciformes; Percidae. The transcript is spliced from 3 exons. The record is from RefSeq and is a predicted model, not a curated record.